This 603-nucleotide unclassified non-coding RNA is filed under the name Melitaea cinxia (Glanville fritillary). Its description in RNAcentral is "misc RNA ENSMCXG00005021374.1". The record is from RNAcentral. Lineage: Eukaryota; Metazoa; Arthropoda; Insecta; Lepidoptera; Nymphalidae.
UUUUAACCGAUUUCAAAAAAAGGAGGAGGUUACUCAAUUCGACCGUAUAUAUAUAUAUAUAUAUAUAUUUAUGUAUGUUCGGGGAUAACUCCGUCGUUUAUGAACCGAUUUUGAUAAUUCUUUUUUUGUUGGAAAGAAGAUAUCCCUAGUUUGGUACCAUGAUAAGGAAACCAGGGUCUGAUGAUGGGAUCCCAAAGAAAUCGAGGGAACUUCUCGAAAAUCCGCAUAACUUUUUACUGGGUGUACCGAUUUUGAUAAUUUUUUAUUUAAUCGAAAGCUGAUGUUUAUUAUGACAUUUGAUAUCAUUACAUUUAAAUUUUAUCGAGAUCUUAUAACUACUUUUUGAGUAAUCUUUGAUAACGCGUAGUUACUUGACUGUUUUUUCGUCGAUCUACGUUGUAUUACUUGUUGAUGUAAUUGAAUUUUCGUUUGCGAGCAAAUACAAUUAUUAGCAAUAAGAUCGCCUGGUUGAACAAUUUGUUACUAUAAUUGCUUGUUAUGUAAAUUUUGUUCUUUAUUUACAUGCGCAAUAAAGUAUAUUAUUAUUAUUAUUAUAGAUAACUCGCCUUCAAUCCAAAAAGUCAACACCAAACGAGUAUCAUG